Molecule: long non-coding RNA, 1084 nt
Filed under: Homo sapiens (human)
Lineage: Eukaryota; Metazoa; Chordata; Mammalia; Primates; Hominidae
Description: HSALNT0287201
Source: RNAcentral
GCCCUUAUUUUAUUUUCCUUUUUGUGUCCUCUUCAUUGUCAUGAUAAGCAUUAGAAACAAAAGAUAGUCAAGUUCUGGAGAGGGUCAGUUGUCUUUCCUCUCUUCCUUUCAACAAGCAUUUAUAAAACACCUGGCAUGUGCUGGUCACUGACACUGACACUAGAAGUACCAGGAGAAAUAAGAUAUGGUGUCUUAUUUACCCUCAAGUAGCUCACAGUCUGGAAGAUAACCCAGGCUGAAAAUCAGUCCCCAGAUGUUAGAAAUCCUACACAUGAAUGUGUGAAUCUGCUAGUAAAAGACAACCAUUUGAGUACUGCAAAUAGUUUUAUUUUACUGUUGUCUCACCAGAGAUAAAACUUACUUGGCAAAGAUUAGUCCUUUGUGAAAAACCAUCUCAAUGGACUGUCCGAGUUAUAUAAGCAUAAAGCAUAGCAAAUGGCACCACUAUCCUCUUGGCCGCUCAACACAAAAAUUGAGAAGGUAUACUGGACUCCUCCCUUUCAUUCACCUCCAUCACCCCCAGCAUGCACACACACACACAGGAUCCAUCAGUAACUUCUGUGGACUCCACCUCCAACCUCUCUCUCCUUCCAUGGCCACUGCCUUGGUGCACACCACUGCAAUGACAGCCUCCCAGCUGGCCUCCACUGCCUUCUUUGCCUUCCUACAUUUUGUUCCCCACAUAGCAGCCAAUGUGCCCCUUUAAAAUGUAAAUCAGAUCCCCCUGCCCAUGCUUAAACUCCUCCAAACGCUUCCCAUUGCAGGUAGAAUGAAAUUCCAAUUGCUUAUCUGGCCCUUUGAAGUACCCACAGGUCUGAUCCUUGCCUACAUCCCUAACCUCAUCCUCUAUAAAGUUACCAUCCUUAACAAGGCUCGUUUUAUUCUGUGAACAAGCCAGGCAUGUCCCUGCCUCAGGGCCUUUUGUAAUUGCACUGCUGUCUCCUUGAAAUGCUUCCCCAAGAUCCACACUUGACCAGCUUCCUCUCAUCCUGCAGGCCUCGGCUCAAACAGGGCCUUCUCAGACAACCAAGGGCUUGGGGAAGCAAAGGAAGAAAGCAUGGUUAGACAGAUUGUUUUAAUGACU